Molecule: unclassified non-coding RNA, 338 nt
Filed under: soil metagenome
Description: partial contains 5.8S ribosomal RNA, internal transcribed spacer 2, and large subunit ribosomal RNA
Rfam family: 5.8S ribosomal RNA (bases 1-120)
Source: RNAcentral
GAUGAAGAACGUAGCGAAAUGCGAUAAGUAAUGUGAAUUGCAGAAUUCAGUGAAUCAUCGAAUCUUUGAACGCACAUUGCGCCCGGUAGUAUUCUGCCGGGCAUGCCUGUUCGUGCGUCAUUUCAACCAUCAAGCCCCAGCGCUUGUGUUGGGGGCCUGCGGCUGCCGCAGCCCCCCAAAAGCAGUGGCGGGCUCGCUAUCACACCGAGUGCAGUAGUUCAUCUUCUCUCCGGUCUUGUGAGGCGGGUUCCGGCCGUGAAACACCCCACUACAUUCAAGGUUGACCUCGGAUCAGGUAGGAAUACCCGCUGAACUUAAGCAUAUCAAUAAGCGGAGGA